ACUAGUGAUUAGAGUUUGAUCAUGGCUCAGGUUGAACGCUGGCGGCAGGCCUAACACAUGCAAGUCGAACGGUAACAGGAAGAAGCUUGCUUCUUUGCUGACGAGUGGCGGACGGGUGAGUAAUGUCUGGGAAACUGCCUGAUGGAGGGGGAUAACUACUGGAAACGGUAGCUAAUACCGCAUAACGUCGCAAGACCAAAGAGGGGGACCUUCGGGCCUCUUGCCAUCGGAUGUGCCCAGAUGGGAUUAGCUAGUAGGUGGGGUAACGGCUCACCUAGGCGACGAUCCCUAGCUGGUCUGAGAGGAUGACCAGCCACACUGGAACUGAGACACGGUCCAGACUCCUACGGGAGGCAGCAGUGGGGAAUAUUGCACAAUGGGCGCAAGCCUGAUGCAGCCAUGCCGCGUGUAUGAAGAAGGCCUUCGGGUUGUAAAGUACUUUCAGCGGGGAGGAAGGGAGUAAAGUUAAUACCUUUGCUCAUUGACGUUACCCGCAGAAGAAGCACCGGCUAACUCCGUGCCAGCAGCCGCGGUAAUACGGAGGGUGCAAGCGUUAAUCGGAAUUACUGGGCGUAAAGCGCACGCAGGCGGUUUUGUUUAAGUCAGAUGUGAAAUCCCCGGGCUCACUGGAACUGCAUCUGAUACUGGCAAGCUUGAGUCUCGUAAAGGGGGUAGAAUUCAGGUGUAGCGGUGAAAUGCGUAGAGAUCUGGAGGAAUACCGGUGGCGAAGGCGGCCCCCUGGACGAAGACUGACGCUCAGGUGCGAAAGCGUGGGGAGCAAACAGGAUUAGAUACCCUGGUAGUCCACGCCGUAAACGAUGUCGACUUGGAGGUUGUGCCCUUGAGGCGUGGCUUCCGGAGCUAACGCGUUAAGUCGACCGCCUGGGGAGUACGGCCGCAGGGUUAAAACUCAAAUGAAUUGACGGGGGCCCGCACAAGCGGUGGAGCAUGUGGUUUAAUUCGAUGCAACGCGAAGAACCUUACCUGGUCUUGACAUCCACGGAAGUUUUCAGAGAUGAGAAUGUGCCUUCGGGAACCGUGAGACAGGUGCUGCAUGGCUGUCGUCAGCUCGUGUUGUGAAAUGUUGGGUUAAGUCCCGCAACGAGCGCAACCCUUAUCCUUUGUUGCCAGCGGUCCGGCCGGGAACUCAAAGGAGACUGCCAGUGAUAAACUGGAGGAAGGUGGGGAUGACGUCAAGUCAUCAUGGCCCUUACGACCAGGGCUACACACGUGCUACAAUGGCGCAUACAAAGAGAAGCGACCUCGCGAGAGCAAGCGGACCUCAUAAAGUGCGUCGUAGUCCGGAUUGGAGUCUGCAACUCGACUCCAUGAAGUCGGAAUCGCUAGUAAUCGUGGAUCAGAAUGCCACGGUGAAUACGUUCCCGGGCCUUGUACACACCGCCCGUCACACCAUGGGAGUGGGUUGCAAAAGAAGUAGGUAGCUUAACCUUCGGGAGGGCGCUUACCACUUUGUGAUUCAUGACUGGGGUGAAGUCGUAA
This 1500-nucleotide ribosomal RNA is filed under the name uncultured bacterium. RNAcentral describes it as "bacterial SSU rRNA". It matches the Rfam family "Bacterial small subunit ribosomal RNA". The record is from RNAcentral.